This 775-nucleotide small RNA is filed under the name Vigna angularis var. angularis. RNAcentral's name for it is "Non-protein coding transcript". Lineage: Eukaryota; Viridiplantae; Streptophyta; Magnoliopsida; Fabales; Fabaceae. The record is from RNAcentral.
AUUUAAUUACUUCGUUUUAACCUUAGCGUGAUAUUUCGUAGUAAUUUUCACAUGCAUGUCCAAAACUGUAGACAUUAGCCAAAUAGCACUUAAUCAAAUGUGAUUUUCUGUAAAAACAACGAAGACCAUCAGAAGUUGACUUCUUAAACUGAAACGAAAUUACAUAGCUGUAUCGCAUUGAAAUAAUUGGAAGUGGGUAGAAGAAUAGAACAUACAACUUGGAAUGCAACUUUUAUUUUAUAUAGCUUAAGUUUGAUUGUUUUGUGUAUGUAUAAAAUUAGAAAAUGAUAUUAUUCUUUGUUGACCAACUCCGAAACUUACUUCUCAUAUGUACAUUAUCGCAUCAUUGCUCAUGCUGAAAUUGCUACUCAUCAAGUCAACUCCAGGCACACAAUGGAUGAAACCAUUUUCCGCCAUCUGAUUUGCAUACUUCAGCUCUGAAUUCAAAAUCUCAGGGGCUGAAAUGUUAGCCAAGCAUCUAUGGUACCCUCCACCAAAGGGUAUAUCUGACAUAUCAUGGAUUGCAGCCUCCUGAAGAGUUGAAUUUUGAUCAAAUCCAUUCCUCAAACCAAAAGAGUCAACUGAAUUUGCAGAGUUUACUUGAUCCAAUGAAAGCCACUCAGCAAAUAACAGUUUUGGCAAGGAGCUUUGGCUAGCCUCUUUGGUGAAGUUACAACUCUGUGUACCUUGAGUUGCAAGGUUUUUGAGAGAGUUUGAAGACUCCAUGGUAAUGCAUAACUCUAUUUCAAAUGAGGCAGGACGUGGUUCUUUUAAC